RNAcentral lists this ribosomal RNA (896 nucleotides) under Curvularia joliotcurieae. Its description in RNAcentral is "partial large subunit ribosomal RNA". It matches the Rfam family "Eukaryotic large subunit ribosomal RNA", at positions 41 to 955 of the family's 3401-position model. The record is from RNAcentral. Lineage: Eukaryota; Fungi; Ascomycota; Dothideomycetes; Pleosporales; Pleosporaceae.
UAUCAAUAAGCGGAGGAAAAGAAACCAACAGGGAUUGCCCUAGUAACGGCGAGUGAAGCGGCAACAGCUCAAAUUUGAAAUCUGGCUCUUUUAGAGUCCGAGUUGUAAUUUGCAGAGGGCGCUUUGGCUUUGGCAGCGGUCCAAGUUCCUUGGAACAGGACGUCACAGAGGGUGAGAAUCCCGUACGUGGUCGCUAGCUAUUGCCGUGUAAAGCCCCUUCGACGAGUCGAGUUGUUUGGGAAUGCAGCUCUAAAUGGGAGGUAAAUUUCUUCUAAAGCUAAAUAUUGGCCAGAGACCGAUAGCGCACAAGUAGAGUGAUCGAAAGAUGAAAAGCACUUUGGAAAGAGAGUCAAACAGCACGUGAAAUUGUUGAAAGGGAAGCGCUUGCAGCCAGACUUGCUUGCAGUUGCUCAUCCGGGCUUUUGCCCGGUGCACUCUUCUGCAGGCAGGCCAGCAUCAGUUUGGGCGGUGGGAUAAAGGUCUCUGACACGUUCCUUCCUUCGGGUUGGCCAUAUAGGGGAGACGUCAUACCACCAGCCUGGACUGAGGUCCGCGCAUCUGCUAGGAUGCUGGCGUAAUGGCUGUAAGCGGCCCGUCUUGAAACACGGACCAAGGAGUCUAACAUCUAUGCGAGUGUUUGGGUGUCAAGCCCGAGCGCGUAAUGAAAGUGAACGGAGGUGGGAACCCGCAAGGGUGCACCAUCGACCGAUCCUGAAGUUUACGGAAGGAUUUGAGUAAGAGCAUGGCUGUUGGGACCCGAAAGAUGGUGAACUAUGCUUGAAUAGGGUGAAGCCAGAGGAAACUCUGGUGGAGGCUCGCAGCGGUUCUGACGUGCAAAUCGAUCGUCAAAUUUGGGCAUAGGGGCGAAAGACUAAUCGAACUAUCUAGUAGCUGGU